Molecule: ribosomal RNA, 253 nt
Filed under: uncultured bacterium
Lineage: Bacteria
Description: partial 16S ribosomal RNA
Rfam family: Bacterial small subunit ribosomal RNA
Source: RNAcentral
UACAGAGGUGGCAAGCGUUGUUCGGAAUUACUGGGCGUAAAGGGCGCGUAGGCGGCCUUCUAAGUCAGACGUGAAAUCCCCCGGCUUAACCUGGGAACUGCGUCUGAUACUGGGAGGCUAGAGUAUGGGAGAGGGAUGUAGAAUUCCAGGUGUAGCGGUGAAAUGCGUAGAUAUCUGGAGGAAUACCGGUGGCGAAGGCGGCAUCCUGGACCAUUACUGACGCUGAGGCGCGAAAGCUAGGGGAGCGAACGGG